Gallus gallus (chicken) is the source of this 1970-nucleotide long non-coding RNA. The record is from Ensembl. NCBI's taxonomy places the organism in Eukaryota, Metazoa, Chordata, Aves, Galliformes, Phasianidae.
AUCUUAGACAUGCUUUACUGUAUUAGAUGCUAUAAUUACCAACUCUGAAACAGAUCAUUGUAAUGAAAGAGCUAAUGAGAAGCUGUUGUUGAGCAGUGUAUCUGACAGAGAUAAUUUAUGUAUUUAUGGGAGAAAUCUAAAUCAUUCUGAAAUAAAUAGAAAUCUUCUUUGAGUUAUAUUUGGAAAAUAUUUUUAUAAAACUUAUUGACAGACAAAUAGUGUUCAAGCAGAAAUAAACCAGUAACAACUAACAUCAUUUUGGUGACUUGGUGUGAAUAGGUCAGUGUCUUGAUGGAAGUAGUUUUUGACCUUGCAGUCUUAUUUCUUCUGUUCACUCACUCAAGACUUGUAUUUUAAUGGAACAUGACAAAGAUUUUUAAGUUUUAAAAUAAUAAUCUACUGAAAUUUGGCUUCAUUUUCAUUCUACAUUUGGUUUAGGACAUUUGGAUACAUACAUAUUUUACUAAAAAAUGUGAGAGUAUUAAUAUGAUUAAUAAUGAUGAUUAAUAAAAUUUUUUGCUUGUAAUUGCUAUGGCAUUAAUAGACUCAUUGUAACCUGUCAGGAAAAAUGUUUUCUAUGAAAUACACUGAAUUAAAAAGAUUUUAUACAUACAGUAAAAUUGUUGGCAAUUCUUGUUUUAAAUAGGAAAUAAAGAUUGCAAAGAUUAUAGGAGGAGCUGGGCAGUAGAAAUAUACAAAACAGGUAGGAUGGAGUAAACAACAUGGUAUUUCUGUUUUCAUCCAAUUUAUUUUUCUUCUGAAAGAAGAACUGAACUAUGUGUUGACACUUUACUCUAAAACAGUCAACAUCCUGUUUAUCUACAUUCAUAAAUUCAUACAUUUUAAUUUAGAUUUCUUUAUAAUACAAAUCUUGUAUGCAUAAUUAGUUAUUACACUACAAUUUAGUAACAAAUAAUAUAGCAGGAACUCUUCUUUUUAAUUUACUUUCUUCCACACCCAGGGUGGGUGUGGAGCAGGGGAAUGUGUUGAUAUUACCUUCUACUAGGAUAUGAACACACUUGUGAAGUUCUUUGUCAAGAUAUAGUUCAGAAGACGAAAUAGAGACAAAUAACCUACCCAUUCCAAAGGUCAGCGAAGUCUCCAGAAGGGGCAAUCUCUGAACAGAGAUCUUCCUCUCUUGGCUAUUAACCCUUAAAUGAGAGGGAGGAGAGAUAGACCUUUGGUCCAGGUGCAUUGCUUCUAUGUGUGUGCCCUGAGUUAGCCUUCUCAGCCGUUACUGAAUCUCUGGUUAGGCCAUGACCUACCAAUCCCCAUACAGUAGAACAAUCCUUUUUCUUGCUCAGCUGGCAGUGCUGGGCCUGAUGCACCCCAAUGGAUUGGGUCUGGUUGACAUAUUGGGCCCUCUAUUCCCCUCAGAAGGGAAAUACUUGUGAGAAAAACCCUUCUGUUUUUUCUUGACAGAGGUGGCAGUGACACAGGGACUAGGUUGACUUGCCCUAGGCAACCCCUCCAACCUGGACAGACCAUCUGCAUUAUCGUUUGUCUGUCCAUUACAUUCCAGAGUUUCAUACAACUUUUAUAAAGACAUCUUGGAACGUGAGGUAGGCAGGAGAGGUGAUUUGCCUUUUUCUGAGCAGAAAUCUGCUUCCACUCAACCCUGAAUCUUAGGUUCCCUCCUUCUCCUUUAUGGCAAGAGAGUAGGGAAUAUUUCAUUUCCUGUGUUACAAUUGGCUGAUGCUUCUGUUUCAGGGAUAGUAGAUUGUGAUCCCACCAAUCCAUCUCCUGACAGAAAACCUGGGCACACCUCAAAAACUGAGAUCUCAAUGGAAGCAUGUUCACUUGGGGGCUCUGUCUGGGUAACUCGGUCAGUUCCAGAUGCUGGAAAGGCCACAGGAGAUGCAGAGGACAUAGCUUUCUUUUGGGUGGAUAACAUGACUGGAACUCUUGCAAGUGUGUUAUGUGUUGGAAGUGGUAGAGUGGAGGGGGGUCACUGUUACUCCUGGCUCUGU